Molecule: ribosomal RNA, 695 nt
Filed under: uncultured Bacteroidales bacterium
Lineage: Bacteria; Pseudomonadati; Bacteroidota; Bacteroidia; Bacteroidales
Description: bacterial SSU rRNA
Rfam family: Bacterial small subunit ribosomal RNA
Source: RNAcentral
GUCGAGGGGCAGCAUGGUCUUAGCUUGCUAAGGCUGAUGGCGACCGGCGCACGGGUGAGUAACACGUAUCCAACCUGCCGUCUACUCUUGGCCAGCCUUCUGAAAGGAAGAUUAAUCCAGGAUGGCAUCAUGAGUUCACAUGUCCGCAUGAUUAAAGGUAUUUUCCGGUAGACGAUGGGGAUGCGUUCCAUUAGAUAGUAGGCGGGGUAACGGCCCACCUAGUCAACGAUGGAUAGGGGUUCUGAGAGGAAGGUCCCCCACAUUGGAACUGAGACACGGUCCAAACUCCUACGGGAGGCAGCAGUGAGGAAUAUUGGUCAAUGGGCGAUGGCCUGAACCAGCCAAGUAGCGUGAAGGAUGACUGCCCUAUGGGUUGUAAACUUCUUUUAUAAAGGAAUAAAGUCGGGUAUGCAUACCCGUUUGCAUGUACUUUAUGAAUAAGGAUCGGCUAACUCCGUGCCAGCAGCCGCGGUAAUACGGAGGAUCCGAGCGUUAUCCGGAUUUAUUGGGUUUAAAGGGAGCGUAGAUGGAUGUUUAAGUCAGUUGUGAAAGUUUGCGGCUCAACCGUAAAAUUGCAGUUGAUACUGGAUGUCUUGAGUGCAGUUGAGGCAGGCGGAAUUCGUGGUGUAGCGGUGAAAUGCUUAGAUAUCACGAAGAACUCCGAUUGCGAAGGCAGCCUGCUAAGCUGCAACUGA